This 211-nucleotide unclassified non-coding RNA is filed under the name Hevea brasiliensis (rubber tree). Lineage: Eukaryota; Viridiplantae; Streptophyta; Magnoliopsida; Malpighiales; Euphorbiaceae. The record is from RNAcentral.
AUUACAAACAAAUAUUUCGCAGGUCAACUUUGAUGUUCUUUUUCCUUCAGAGGAGAGUGUUUUGGUAGUUCUUGCAUUUAUCUUCAUCUGCAUUAUGGUUUCUUCUGGUUGAAAAUUCGCGGUCUUCUUUUCCUGGUGAGUAUGCCAACUUUUUGCUAUUCUCCUUUUAACUAAUUUUUUCUCCAAUAGUUAUUUCAUAUCCAAAAAUGAU